GAUGAAGAACGUAGCGAAAUGCGAUAAGUAAUGUGAAUUGCAGAAUUCAGUGAAUCAUCGAAUCUUUGAACGCACAUUGCGCCCGCCAGUAUUCUGGCGGGCAUGCCUGUUCGAGCGUCAUUUCAACCAUCAAGCCCCCGGCUUGUGUUGGGGACCUGCGGCUGCCGCUGGCCCUGAAAAGCAGUGGCGGGCUCGCUGUCACACCGAGCGUAGUAGCAUACAUCUCGCUCUGGGCGUGCUGCGGGUUCCGGCCGUUAAACCACCUUCAUAACCCAAGGUUGACCUCGGAUCAGGUAGGAAGACCCGCUGAACUUAAGCAUAUCAAUAAGCGGAGGA
Molecule: unclassified non-coding RNA, 336 nt
Filed under: soil metagenome
Description: partial contains 5.8S ribosomal RNA, internal transcribed spacer 2, and large subunit ribosomal RNA
Rfam family: 5.8S ribosomal RNA (bases 1-120)
Source: RNAcentral